CGUCAUCCAGCUCGAUCUCAUUCUCACCGGUCGCGAGGAUGCGGACCCCCGCCGCCGCUGCUCUUCGUUCACCGCCGGCGGCAUCCCGCCUUUCUCCUCCGGCCGGCGCUCGUCCAAGGUUGUAUAGCUCCACUCAGAUUCCAUGGGACGGCAAAGUGAAGCCGGAGAUGAUCAAACCCUACCUUUGAAGGAACUCGCUCGUACAUCAGCUGUAGGAUUGAGGCUGCAACUCCACACCUUCUCUAGCACCGAAGAGAGCACUCUGCUCUCUCAUGCUGGUUGGGAGGAUGCCGCAUCAUUGGCCGUUAGUUACCUGCUUGAAAGCUCACGGCUCCGCACUGCCGACGAACCUGAGAAGUGAUUUGAGUGCCCAUGUCGCUCCAUGCCCACGUAAAUCACCAUAGGAAAAACCCUUGCCACUGGUGUAGUUUUGGCUCGGGCUGAUCUAGAAUUCACAUGUAUGUGCUGUUACAAUACCCUUUGAAUUUGUAAGAUAUAUAUGGUUCCAAUUCGUAGU
Lolium perenne is the source of this 517-nucleotide non-coding RNA. NCBI's taxonomy places the organism in Eukaryota, Viridiplantae, Streptophyta, Magnoliopsida, Poales, Poaceae. The record is from RefSeq and is a predicted model, not a curated record.